RNAcentral lists this ribosomal RNA (489 nucleotides) under uncultured bacterium. RNAcentral's name for it is "partial 16S ribosomal RNA". It matches the Rfam family "Bacterial small subunit ribosomal RNA", at positions 30 to 507 of the family's 1533-position model. The record is from RNAcentral.
UUGAACGCUGGCGGCAGGCCUAACACAUGCCAGUCGAACGGUAACAGGAAGCAGCUUGCUGCUUUGCUGACGAGUGGCGGACGGGUGAGUAAUGUCUGGGAAACUGCCUGAUGGAGGGGGAUAACUACUGGAAACGGUAGCUAAUACCGCAUAACGUCGCAAGACCAAAGAGGGGGACCUUCGGGCCUCUUGCCAUCGGAUGUGCCCAGAUGGGAUUAGCUUGUUGGUGGGGUAACGGCUCACCAAGGCGACGAUCCCUAGCUGGUCUGAGAGGAUGACCAGCCACACUGGAACUGAGACACGGUCCAGACUCCUACGGGAGGCAGCAGUGGGGAAUAUUGCACAAUGGGCGCAAGCCUGAUGCAGCCAUGCCGCGUGUAUGAAGAAGGCCUUCGGGUUGUAAAGUACUUUCAGCGGGGAGGAAGGGAGUAAAGUUAAUACCUUUACUCAUUGACGUUACCCGCAGAAGAAGCACCGGCUAACUCCGUG